RNAcentral lists this ribosomal RNA (496 nucleotides) under uncultured bacterium. Its description in RNAcentral is "partial 16S ribosomal RNA". It matches the Rfam family "Bacterial small subunit ribosomal RNA", at positions 28 to 506 of the family's 1533-position model. The record is from RNAcentral.
GAUGAACGCUGGCGGCGUGCCUAAUACAUGCAAGUCGAGCGAACAGACGAGGAGCUUGCUCCUCUGACGUUAGCGGCGGACGGGUGAGUCACACGUGUAUCACCUACCUAUAUUACUGGUAUCACUUCGGGAAACCGGAUCUAAUCCCGGAUAAUAUAUUGAACCGCAUUGUUCAAUAGUGAAAGUCGGUUUUGCUGUCACUUAUCGCUGGAUCCGGGCCGCUUUAGCUAGUUGGUAAGGUAACGGCUUACCACGGCGACGCUGCGUAGCCGACCUGAGAGGGGGAACGGCCACACUGAAACUGAGAGACGGCCCAGGCACUGAGGGGAGGCAGCAGUAGGGAAGGGUGGGAAAAGGGCGAAAGCUUGAAGGAGGAACGGAGGGUGAGUGAUGAAAGUCUGCGGAUCGGAAAACGCUGUUAUGAGGGAAGAACAAAUGUGUAAGUAACUAUGCACGUGUGGAGGGUACCGAAUCAGAAAGCCACGGCUAACUACGU